Molecule: transfer RNA, 72 nt
Filed under: Comamonadaceae bacterium
Lineage: Bacteria; Pseudomonadati; Pseudomonadota; Betaproteobacteria; Burkholderiales; Comamonadaceae
Description: tRNA-Lys
Rfam family: tRNA
About the family: Transfer RNA (tRNA) molecules are approximately 80 nucleotides in length.
Source: RNAcentral
GGGUUCUUAGCUCAGUUGGUAGAGCAGCGGACUCUUAAUCCGUAGGUCGAGUGUUCGAGUCACUCAGGACCC